This 373-nucleotide ribosomal RNA is filed under the name uncultured organism. RNAcentral's name for it is "bacterial SSU rRNA". It matches the Rfam family "Bacterial small subunit ribosomal RNA", at positions 526 to 896 of the family's 1533-position model. The record is from RNAcentral.
CGUAGGGUGCAAGCGUUGUCCGGAAUUAUUGGGCGUAAAGGGCUCGUAGGCGGUCCGUCACGUCGGGAGUGAAAACUUGGGGCUCAACCCCAAGCUUGCUUUCGAUACGGGCGGACUAGAGGUAGGCAGGGGAGAACGGAAUUCCUGGUGUAGCGGUGGAAUGCGCAGAUAUCAGGAGGAACACCGGUGGCGAAGGCGGUUCUCUGGGCCUUACCUGACGCUGAGGAGCGAAAGCGUGGGGAGCGAACAGGAUUAGAUACCCUGGUAGUCCACGCCGUAAACGUUGGGCGCUAGGUGUGGGACUCAUUCCACGAGUUCCGUGCCGCAGCUAACGCAUUAAGCGCCCCGCCUGGGGAGUACGGCCGCAAGGCUA